Molecule: long non-coding RNA, 5885 nt
Filed under: Bemisia tabaci
Lineage: Eukaryota; Metazoa; Arthropoda; Insecta; Hemiptera; Aleyrodidae
Description: lncRNA ENSSSA1NGG002923
Source: RNAcentral
CCUCAUCACACCGCAACCCCUCGCAUGGACUUUGAACUACUUUGAAGCAACUGAACGCAAAUUUCUAAAUCAGCUUAUCCACCCAUUUCCUUCCUAAUUCAGUCUCCGUCAGAUCGUUGUCUUAACCAGAGGCAAUCAUCCUUCGACUGUGUUCUGCGGCAGUAAUUGUCUUUCCGAUCACCGGUUUUCAGCUAAUUAUCUUAGUGAUAUUCCGAAGAAGAACUCGAUAUCCAGUGCGUAAGAAUUUUAAUUGGAAGCAGCGUUUUAAGCUUGGUUAUUUGUCAAGAAAGUUUUUCAUCGCCAUAACCUUUACGUUUCCGUUUCGACCCCCCUCCGCGUUUGACUGUCGUUACUUUACAUCAAUUUAAAUUUCCCCAGUGAAAUUUCCAGUGUGAAAAUUUUAUUUUGAACUCUUUAAAAUUUUUCUGGCUUUUAGUUAAGUUCCUAUCUGAACAAGCGCCAACCGAAAACUUUUUACUGUGUUUCUUGCAGUCUCUAAAAUUCGCCAUACUGCGGAGGGCUUCGUUUUUCAGUGCGUGUGAUCUGAAUUACGCAGAUUCGUCGGCGGUUAAUUAAUGUUUUACAAAUUCUUCAAAGUACGAGUCGAUCUCUUUUCCCUUCUCCCGCGUUCAAGUCUCUCAAUCUGCAAAGCUCGAUAAAGCUUCUCCCAACGGCCGGUUUCCAGUGGCCUGUUCUUGUAGAGUUCCAGCUUCUGUGACUGUCACUUCUACUCGCUACGCUCCAUCAAAAUGUUCUCCCAUAGAGAGGAGUAUCCUUAUUCGCAUUACUAUGAUUACGAGCCAUUCAUACGGGCCGUCGAGAAAUUCCCUCAAUUAUACAAUAGGAAACACCCGCUUUAUUGGAAAAUUCGCGGAUAUCCUGCAAGGAGAAGCACAUGGGAAGAUGUUGGAAGAAUGUGUAACUUUCGACGUAUCGAUGCGUCCAAUAUCCAGACUAUUUGGGAAACUCUGAGAAACUCUUACACAAGUUAUCGCCUACGGAAAAGAGAAAAUGAAUUACUGGGGAAACCUCCACCGACGUGGAAGUACGCUGAAGCCAUGUCGUUUUUGGAACCUUACCUGAUGCAUAAAAAGAGGAAAAAUCCGGAAGUCCAGAACACAAACGCCGCGGAAGGACAAAAUAUUCUUUCAAACAAACCUGAUACGAACGCCGACCUUCCUUCCAAUCCUGCUACCUGCGACAAAUCAAACAAACCUGGUUCGAACAUCUACCACGUCUCCAGUCCUUGUCCCUGCGACAAACAUCGCUCCUGCAACAAUGGCGGCUUACCCACCCCCUCGGAUUCAUCCGUGACGAUUUCUUCGGUGGACGCAGACGACACGGAUGAAAGUAUCUCUCUUUCACCAUUCUGCAUGGCCGACGCUGAUUCGGUGAAAAGACAGAUGUUAGAGCUGCCUCAGACGCAAGAUGAGCCACCUCCAGCGCAACGAGUAAAGUUGGAACCAUCGGAAGACCAAACAAUGAGCCAUGGAUCUCCACCGACUCAAUCAAUGACGUCGGAGUCUUUCGCGACGGAACAAGCGAGUCAGAUGUCGCCUGUAGAGAACCGACCGAGAGUAUCGCCUAUUAUGGAAGAAGUGACGGUGAACUCACACAUGAUGCAACAACUGGGUCAUAAGUCAACACUAACUCAACGGGUGAGUCAUAAGCUAUCACUGGCUCAACCAUUGAGUCAGGAAACACCAUUGAUUCAACGAGUGAGCCAUGAGCCAUCACUGACUCAGCCAUCGAGCCAGGAAUCACCAUUGAUUCAACGAGUGAGGAAUGAGUCAUCGCGUGAGUCAUCACUGAUGACUCAACCAUUGAACCAGGAAUCACUUCGGAUCCAACUGGCUCAACCACUGGUUCAGGAGUCACCAAAGAUCCAAAGAGCGAGUCGCGAGGCACUACCGAUACAGCAAGUAACAUUAGAGUCAUCUUGGUCAGAGCAAGUCAACUCGCAGUCACUUCCCAGGGAGCGCACGAGACAAGAGUCGACGUCUUUCGAAGGAGUGAUGUCCUCAACGACCCAGCAAGUUAGUCACGAGUCUUCGCAAAUCGGCAAUACGACACUUCCCAGGCGUAAGGUGAGUUUGGAGCCGUUCCCAAGGGAGGGAUUGAGAUCAGAAUCAUCCCCGGAUGCUCUAGCCCUGUUUUUUGUAGCUACCGAGGCGACUGUCCGCCGACUAAGUCCUAUCUUGCAAAUCCAGGCGAAAGCCAAAAUCAGCGCUCUCAUGGCAGAGCUAGAGAUGAAGUCCUUCUUCCCGGACGGUUGAAUCAAAUAUUCUUGUCAAUAUCCCUCUUUCUCCUCCAAAUCUUCCUCCGCCUUUUCCUCCCCCUCCUCCUCCCUCCCUCUCUCCCCCUUUUCUGAUCUUCCUUCUAUUCCUUCCCUCUGUUCCUUAUACUCUUCCUCCUAUUUCUCCUUUUACUCCCCUUUUUUCCCACUCCUUCUUCCUCCCCCUCCUCUUUCUGUACCUCUUCUUUUUCUCUCUCUCUCCUCCUUCCCUCCAAUCACGCGGGCUUCGAGUACCACAUGGCGUAAUGCUUGUAAAUUGUCACAAAUUACCUUUGAUAAGUUGUGAAUAUGAUAUUCUGACAAUGAGACCUGCAUUUCAUGUUCCUUUUUUUUGUGUAACAUUUAAAUCUAAAGAAUUUACGAAUAUUGAAUUGUGCCUCAGCUAAAAAUCUCCCGGGGCCUUUUUGUUCCUUUAAGUUUUUUUUCCAACUGUAUGUAAUCCAGUUGAUGAGAAUUAUUUAACUUAUUUCGUUUCUUAUUUAAGUUUUAUUUUGACAUGAGUUUUAUGCGUUAGAGCUUAAGUUUUAGCAUGGUUGUUCUUAUAAUUUACCAUUUUCUGGUGACAACAGUUUGUCACAUAAUGUAGUGAUAUCAAUGUGACUAAGGAUUAAAUUUUGACAACACAAACUUGUAAAGUUAUUCAUUCAAAACUAAGUUAUAUUUUAUAAUAUCUUCAGCCUUAAUUUCAUUUUGUAUUUUAAUUUGAGUCCUUGAUUUUCUGUGACUGAGAUUGUUGUUUUGCAGGUGUUACUUCAAAUGAUAUUUCCUCAUUUCAUUUUAAGUAAAUUUCGCUAAAUUAUAGUUAAAAUAUUAGCUAUUUUUUCAAAAGAUGAUUUUGUUUUGUACUUAUAUUUUGAUACCAAUAAUGUGAUUCGCGUGUAGUUAUACUGAACUUAUGUGAUUGACAAUGUGCAACUUGAUGCAUAGGAUAAACUUGACUGAUUAUUGAUUAAUCUUCUAAUACUUUUUGUAAAAUAAGUGUUUAAAAUAUUUCUUUCUUUCAAAGAUACACGUUAUUUGCUCGAAAAAUAGUUCACUUAAUCAAUAAACUGCUGAGACGAGAAGAAUUUUAAUUCAUAAUGUAAGCAUUUCCUUUCUGAUUAAUAUCCUUAAAGCAUACUCUGCUUACAGCGAAAAGUAUUAUGCCAAAGUUAUUCAUGCGGUCUAGUGCGUCAAAUCCAUGGUUGUAGUCGAAAAAUUCGUAUCUUUAAUUUAGACUUUGCAAAUCUCCGUUCAUAUUUUAGCUUCUUUAAACAAAAUUAACAACUGCCACAUUUUUUGGAAAUAUUCCGCAACUUGUCUCAACUCGUUCAGAAAUAUUCAUGUAAGCAUUCAAAGAGUUAUUUUGGUUUUUAAUCUUAAAAAAAAAAAUAGACAUGAUUGAGGAUUUUUCAAUGUUCCGAUAAAGAUACGUAUUUUUUGAGUUAAGCCAUCGGUAUUUUGAUCCGAUCAACUAUAUAUUUCUUGAUUAAAAUUAGGAGAUAAAAGGUUUAGGAAAAAAUCACAACAUUCGACCGCACGUAUAGCUAUAGCAAACGAGCCAGUAAAUUGAUCAUAAAAUUUAUGUAAUUUUUUUCUGUUUUCCCCCUCUUAGUAUGCCUUUAAUUAUUCAGCCGGCCACCUUCCUAGCAUCUAUUGAAAUCGUGUUUAGAUCAUUUAUCUCAUAGAUUUGAUGCAAUAUAAGGAGAAAACCCUGCAAGAUUUUCAAAGAGUAAAAUUGAAUAAUUGCAUUUCCCAAAAACGUAAAGUAGUGGUAGAAAUUUUGAAAUUUACGGGUAUCGACUCCUGAAAGAGAUAUUGACAAAUCCCCCCCCCCCCCCCAACACAGAGCUAGUAACAGUGAGAUCAUGCGAGUGACUGCAUUUGUAUUUUUGCUUGCCGCUUAAACAAUGCUUAUUUUAAACAUUUGUGCCUAUCUUGUCUAGGAGUUUGUUUCCAUUUCGACUCAUAGGAUCUAUUUUUGCCUAACCGCCCAAUUGAAGGCUAUAAUCAAUGUCCGUUGUCUUCCGCAGAGGUUCCGAUCGAACGAAGAGCUGUGGCCUCCUUCUCCGUCACUUGAUCGAAAACAGAUAAUGCGCUUUGGCAAUGAUAUUUUUAUUGUUUAUUGGGAUUCUCACAAUUAUCAUAGGAUUUUACAUUACGGCGACUUUACUUAAAAAAUCAUAUGCAACUUUUAUACAUGCACAUUGCCGACUUAAAAAUUUAUCGGAUUAGCUACAAAUUAACACGGCUGGCUGUUUUGUAAAAUCCUUGUGGAUAAAUCUGGUGCAUCGCGAAAAGAUGUUUUUCUUUACAUUCGUAUUUUGUACCUAAUGACGCAUAAUUUUUUCACUAAAAUUUUCCCAUGGUGGUUUUCAAGGUCGCGUUGCAUACACGGAAAAAUUUCAUUCCUUGAAGAGAGGAAAUUGAAAUCCAGGUAAGCGCACACGAGUGAAAAAAUUCAGAUGCCUCUCAUGAGUGAAAAAAUCAAAAGCAUAGGUGCUAUAGAAAACAACUAUUCAAAAAUGCAAAGCUAUCGUUGGUCACAGGAAAUGUCUAUAUAUCUGCCUCUACGUAUUUUUAACCUGAGUCGAGCCAGGCCUCAAGAGUCUUGUGUCUACUACAUGUUAUAGUAAAUCUUUCGUUUUAAGGACAGAAUUUCGGUCCAUACAGAUCACUAUAUUUUUCGGUCCAGAUAAUCGAAUUUUUCAGUCAUAUAGAAACUGAACCUCCGUUCCGAUGACCGCGUUUUUCAGUAAAGAACACGAGUCAUUGUACCAACGUCUAACAAAAACUUUGGUUGGCUGAGAAGUCCGGUUACCUGGAUCGAAACUUUUGGUGUCCUUUGAACCGAAAGGCAUCCUUCCAUGCGCUGGGAGCGGUAUAUUUGUUUGAAAGAAAAGUUUUUAUGAAGUUUAAAGCGAUUAUGCCCGAAUAAAAGCACGUUCCAUCGCUCUCUUAAACGAAAAUUGUCAAGCAACGGUAUGUUCAUGGUUGUAGGAAGAAAGCCUCAAAGGGGGAGGGGGGGGGGCUCGUAAACAACCCCCCCUCCCACACCGACUUCUGUGGAUGUAAAUGUGCCUUCCUUCCCGCUCCUCCAAAAAAAAAAAAAAAAAAAAAAAAAUAUGCCAAGGGUGAGCUAAAAUCAUCUCUCUCUUGCAAAUUACCCUGGCUCAUAUUGAAAUCGACGAAUGGAAUGGAAGAAGAUUUGGCAAUUGAAUAAUUACAAGUACAAUGCAAUUCACAAAGCAAGAACUGCGAGGCACACUGGCGGAAAAUUAUUCAAGAGUUUAUAUAUCAAUGAUAUUUUCCUUAUCAAUUAUAUUCCUCUUAAACUCCUUUAAGUGUUUACUGCUAUUGCAUCUACUAAGCCGAUAAAUCAUUUUAUCAAGAAAAAACUUAAGAUACAAUUAUUAAGAUGCAAUUAUUUCUCCCAACUAAUGCGCCUAAUUAGUGUCUAUGAACUCUACUAUCUGGUGAGAGGAUAGAUUUAUUCCCGAGUUUUCAGUCGAUUCGCAUAACACUUUCAGUGCUAGUUUCAACUUGGCAGCCUUUCAUUGUCUUUCUAAACAAACGCGUGAUUCAUUUAACGUCACUUUUACUUUUGUUU